This 378-nucleotide ribosomal RNA is filed under the name uncultured bacterium. RNAcentral's name for it is "partial 16S ribosomal RNA". It matches the Rfam family "Bacterial small subunit ribosomal RNA", at positions 338 to 734 of the family's 1533-position model. The record is from RNAcentral.
UCUACGGGAGGCAGCAGUGGGGGAUAUUGCACAAUGGGGGGAACCCUGAUGCAGCGAUGCCGCGUGGGUGAAGGCGUGCUUCGGCUUGUAAAGUUCUGUCGCAGGGGACGAAACAGACGGUACCCUGCAUAAAAACUCCCGCUAACUACGUUCCAACAGCCGGGGGAAUACGUGGGGAGCAAGCGUUUUCCGGAAUUACGGGGGGUAAAGGGAGCGGAGGCGGGGGGAGAAGGUGAAGGUGAAACCUAUGGGCUCAACCCGUAGCUGCGUUAAAAACUGUUCGUCUUGAGUGAAGGAGAGGCAGGCGGAAUUCCUGGUGUAGCGGUGAAAUGCGUAGAUAUUAGGAGGAACACCAGCGGCGAAGGCGGCCUGCUGGGC